Tachyglossus aculeatus (Australian echidna) is the source of this 138-nucleotide small nucleolar RNA. NCBI's taxonomy places the organism in Eukaryota, Metazoa, Chordata, Mammalia, Monotremata, Tachyglossidae. The record is from RefSeq and is a predicted model, not a curated record.
CCCCUCUCAGGAUGGCACCUGGAGAGUUUCUACUACUCUACUAGUCUCAGCUAUAGGAGGGAGAGUCAGGGAGAGUCCUACCCAUUCCAUUCCUAGCUUGGCCAGUGGCUAGUGAGUGGAAGACAAUCUGCCACAAGU